RNAcentral lists this transfer RNA (61 nucleotides) under Halictus rubicundus. RNAcentral describes it as "tRNA-Val". The record is from RNAcentral. Lineage: Eukaryota; Metazoa; Arthropoda; Insecta; Hymenoptera; Halictidae.
UUAAAGAUAGAAACCGAUCUGGCUUACACCGAUCUGAACUCAAAUCAUGUAAGAUUUUAAA